RNAcentral lists this long non-coding RNA (211 nucleotides) under Elaeis guineensis (African oil palm). RNAcentral's name for it is "long non-coding RNA (EGUI_LNC049608)". The record is from RNAcentral. Lineage: Eukaryota; Viridiplantae; Streptophyta; Magnoliopsida; Arecales; Arecaceae.
UGUGAGAGAGAGAGAGAGAGAGAGAGAGAGAGCGCAAUUCUUAAUUGUCAAUAUAAAGAUUCAGUUAUAUAUAUGUAAGGUUCCUUCCAUGGUAUAUAUUUGUAAUAUUAAAUUAAAAAAAGAAUCCUCUCAAAUUACCUGUCAAUUCUUGCCUGUAGUUCAUGAAUCUUGUCCUUAUUAUCAAUGAAGGUCAAAAAAAAGGUAGCUCACA